AGACUUGAAUCUUGUAAGCCUUAACCAUUAUCCAUGAAGGCUUGAUGUCAUUUCUUGGUAAAAGAGCCUAAAGCAAUAAUCUGCUUUCAGUUUGAAACAAAGAACGUAGAAACAUAGAACGUUUCGACCAUUCUUGCCAAAAUUAGCUUGGCUUGAAAUCAAAAACUUGGAAAACAACAAAUAUUUCGUCCAAACAAUUCAAUUACUUAGCCAAUUCAAGAAUUUCGACUGAAAUUUCAAAAGAAGCCACCACAAAUUUCGUUCAACAUAUUUCACGGAAGUAGAAGAUUCAUUCCGUUCAAAUAAUUCCGGGAACAGGUGUGUUAAUGCCCUCCCUUCUUUCUUUUGGCAUGGUCCAAAUUAUACUGAAGAAAUGAGCAAAUACACAGUUUUCUAUAAAUUACUCUAUUCAUAGAAAUAGUAUGGGUGUCUAUAUUCUUGAUUCCCCAUGAGAAUUAUUAUUAUCUUCUGUUCAUAGGUCUCAGAAUAAUACGCAGUUGGAAAAGUUUUUCCGGAAGGAAUAUCGAGAUUAUUAUGUAUUUUCAUGCAUUUCACUCAUUUAUACAUGUGCAUUGACUGAUGACCAGAUGACGUUAUAUAUGCGUAUAUAUGUAAAUAUAUGUAUAUGGGAUAUGGGAAAAUGUUAUGACGUUAUAUACACAUCACCACCUGAUCAGCUGGUAUAUGAUGAUGAUGUUGCCCACAGUGGUUGAAAUAUGAUUCAAACGGCGUUAUAUAUGCGUAUAUAUGUAUAUAUAUGUAUAUGGGAUAUGAGAAUAGGUUAUGGCGUUAUAUACGCACCACCACCUGAUCAGCUGGUAUAUGUUGAUGAUGUUGACCACAGUGGCUGAGACGAUAUGAUGAGAUGCCCUUAGUGGCUUGGUAAUAUUAUGUACACCCAUACCUAUGCAUGGCGCGACAUUUAUACGCAUGUGCAUGAUAUAAUAAACAUUUCAGAAUUUACAGAGUUAUUUAGAUUUAAAGGUCUUUCUGUAUUACAUGUUUCAUCUAUGUCUUUUACGUACUUAUUUUCAUUCCUUACGUACUCAGUACAUUUUUCGUACUGACGCCCUAUUUCAGGGGGCCUGCGUUUCAUGCCCGUUGGUGCAGGUGGGUGAGAUGAAGGUCCCCCUUUUUAGGAUCCCUGAUCAGCGAGAGUUGCCN
This 1164-nucleotide long non-coding RNA is filed under the name Nicotiana tabacum (common tobacco). RNAcentral's name for it is "long non-coding RNA (NTAB_LNC019126)". Lineage: Eukaryota; Viridiplantae; Streptophyta; Magnoliopsida; Solanales; Solanaceae. The record is from RNAcentral.